GUUCUAGUGAAUAACGGGGAUAUUCGAUAAAAUUGGAACGACACAGCAAAUAUUAGCAUGACCUUUGUGCAAGGAUGACAUACUCAAAUUGAAAAAUUAUGUU
This is a small nuclear RNA of Cucurbita maxima (winter squash), 103 nucleotides long. The record is from RefSeq and is a predicted model, not a curated record. NCBI's taxonomy places the organism in Eukaryota, Viridiplantae, Streptophyta, Magnoliopsida, Cucurbitales, Cucurbitaceae.